This 450-nucleotide ribosomal RNA is filed under the name uncultured bacterium. RNAcentral's name for it is "partial 16S ribosomal RNA". It matches the Rfam family "Bacterial small subunit ribosomal RNA", at positions 354 to 796 of the family's 1533-position model. The record is from RNAcentral.
GUGGGGAAUAUUGGACAAUGGGCGAAAGCCUGAUCCAGCCAUGCCGCGUGUGUGAAGAAGGUCUUCGGAUUGUAAAGCACUUUAAGUUGGGAGGAAGGGCAGUAAGUUAAUACCUUGCUGUUUUGACGUUACCGACAGAAUAAGCACCGGCUAACUUCGUGCCAGCAGCCGCGGUAAUACGAAGGGUGCAAGCGUUAAUCGGAAUUACUGGGCGUAAAGCGCGCGUAGGUGGUUUUGUAAGUUGGAGGUGAAAUCCCCGGGCUGAACCUGGGAACUGCCUCCACAACUGCAUGACUAGAGUACGGUAGAGGGUAGUGGAAUUUCCUGUGUAGCGGUGAAAUGCGUCGAUAUAGGAAGGAGCACCAGUGGCGAAGGCGACUACCUGGACUGAUACUGACACUGAGGUGCGAAAGCGUGGGGAGCAAACAGGAUUAGAAACCCCAGUAGUCC